Acanthosepion pharaonis is the source of this 114-nucleotide non-coding RNA. NCBI's taxonomy places the organism in Eukaryota, Metazoa, Mollusca, Cephalopoda, Sepiida, Sepiidae. The record is from the annotation of a GenBank genome assembly.
CUUGCGACCAUAUUACGUUGAAACACCGGUCCCCGUAUGAUCACCGAAGUUAAGCAACGUUUAGAUUAGUCAGUACUUAGAUGGGUGACCGCUUAGGAAUACCAGAUACUGUAA